GGGCAGUCUGCCGCCCGACGCCGGUCGGCGCACACCGCACGCCGCCCGUGCCGCCCGUGCCGCCCGCGCUCAAAACUUCGUGAAGUGACACCGGCAUGUAUCGGAUUACGCAAGUGUGCUGGAUAUAAAAAUAUAAAGAUUCCUGACCCGUAACAUUGAGCACGCCGUUUAAAGCUUCAUAAGACAAUGUUGAAAAAAUGUUUAAAGAUGAAGAAUACGUUACUCUAAAUGACGAAAAUGAUUAUCCAGUAAGAGAACACGCAGAAUGCAACCUGGGAGUUCCGGACUAACGUGAUGCAACUUGUAAUGCUAAACUUCUUAAUCAUGUUCGACAUAGUGUUCAUAUUCUUUCUGUUUCUAAUUGCGGUUACUUGUGUGAUGAACUACAUGCCUGGGAAGAGCAAGAGGCAGGAGGUGAUUGAGGAGGAGGUGGACGAUGACGUCAUCCCGCCGCCCCCGCUGUUCGAUGACGACUGCCUGCCGUCGACCAGCCGCGACACUUACGUCGUCAUUCCACCACCUUUGGACCACGUGGCUAAUGCUAAAGACGGGUGUCCUAUACACGUGGUGUAGUAUAAGCACUGAAUAAUAUAUCAACGUAGGAGUUUAUUACGAAGAAGCCUUAUGAGAAUGUAGAUGACAAAAACAAAAUGUAGGCAUUUUUUACCAAAUCGUCAUGUAUAAGUAAAAUUUCUUGUUACGUAAGACUAAAAGGUGGAAUUUUUGGGACUCAAGAGAAUGGUAUGUACUAACAAAUGACUCGGUUGUUCAAUAGGUUUGUCGAAGCGCUACCAAGAUAUUUACAGAUACGCUCUUUUGCGUUAAGUGCGAUAUUUAAGUACACACUUGUUAUUUUGAUUCGAUAUAAGUAGAUACAUUUACCGAGUAAGGAACCGAUUGUAUAGUUUUAACACAUAACGCCUAAUUGUUUGGUAAUCUUUAAAUUAGCAAACUGAUCUCUAUUGUGUUAGUUAAUCCAACU
Long non-coding RNA from Cydia amplana, 982 nucleotides. RefSeq lists it as uncharacterized. The transcript has 3 exons. NCBI's taxonomy places the organism in Eukaryota, Metazoa, Arthropoda, Insecta, Lepidoptera, Tortricidae. The record is from RefSeq and is a predicted model, not a curated record.